UCAGUAACGGCGAGUGAGCGGUAACAGCUCAAAUUUGAAAUCUGGCUCUUUCAGGGUCCGAGUUGUAAUUUGUAGAAGAUGCUUUGGGUGUGGCCCCGGUCUAAGUUCCUUGGAACAGGACGUCAUAGAGGGUGAGAAUCCCGUAUGUGACUGGGUGCUUUCGCCCGUGUAAAGCUCUUUCGACGAGUCGAGUUGUUUGGGAAUGCAGCUCUAAAUGGGUGGUAAAUUUCAUCUAAAGCUAAAUAUUGGCCAGAGACCGAUAGCGCACAAGUAGAGUGAUCGAAAGAUGAAAAGCACUUUGGAAAGAGAGUUAAACAGUACGUGAAAUUGUUGAAAGGGAAGCGCUUGCAACCAGACUCGCAUGCCGUCGAUCAUCCUGAGUUCUCUCUGGUGCACUCGGCGGUAUUCGGGCCAGCAUCGGUUCGGGUGGUGGGAUAAAGGCCUUGGGAAUGUAGCUUCUUUCGGGGAGUGUUAUAGCCCUCGGUGCAAUGCCGCCUACCUGGACCGAGGACCGCGCUCGGCU
Molecule: ribosomal RNA, 523 nt
Filed under: Albotricha albotestacea
Lineage: Eukaryota; Fungi; Ascomycota; Leotiomycetes; Helotiales; Lachnaceae
Description: eukaryotic LSU rRNA
Rfam family: Eukaryotic large subunit ribosomal RNA
Source: RNAcentral